RNAcentral lists this ribosomal RNA (775 nucleotides) under uncultured Neocallimastigales. Its description in RNAcentral is "partial large subunit ribosomal RNA". It matches the Rfam family "Eukaryotic large subunit ribosomal RNA", at positions 26 to 644 of the family's 3401-position model. Lineage: Eukaryota; Fungi; Neocallimastigomycota; Neocallimastigomycetes; Neocallimastigales. The record is from RNAcentral.
CGCAUCUGUGCAUGCAGCAUAUCAAUAAGCGGAGGAAAAGAAACUAACAAGGAUUCCCCUAGUAACGGCGAGUGAAGCGGGAAGAGCUCAAAUUUGAAAUCUUAAAGGGUUUCCCUUUACGAAUUGUAGUUUAAAGAAGUGUUUUCUGUUGAGGUUUUGGUAAAAGUUCUUUGGAAUAGGACAUCAUAGAGGGUGAGAAUCCCGUAUUUGACCUUUACUUUCAACUUUGUGAUACACUUUCAAAGAGUCGGAUUGUUUGGGAAUGCAGUCCAAAAUGGGUGGUAAAUUUCAUCUAAAGCUAAAUAUUGGCGAGAGACCGAUAGCGAACAAGUACCGUGAGGGAAAGAUGAAAAGAACUUUGAAAAGAGAGUUAAACAGUACGUGAAAUUGUCAAAAGGGAAGCGUUUGACACCAGUGUUGUUUUUCUGAAAAUCAAUUAAAGAACUGUUUAUGCUAAGUUGUUUAGACUUUAUCAGCUAAUCUGCUUAGUUUUGAGCUUUUCUUUAAUGCACUUUUCAGUUAACAAGUCAACAUCAAUUUCUUUUGCUGUAAAAAAGCUUGAGGAAGGUGGCUUGAGAUUCGUCUUAAGUGUUUAUAGCCUCUUGCCUAUGCAGUCGGAGAGAUUGAGGUCUGCAGCGUAGAUCCUUCGGGGCUAAAUGCAUUUGUGCUAAGUUAUAGCAUUUUAUAGACAACUUGUUGACUAUGAUUUGUCUUGUAGCUUACUCGCUUAUGUUAUUUUACCUACGCUUAGGAUGUUGAAUCUGUGCGAGACUAC